This 73-nucleotide transfer RNA is filed under the name Agrilus planipennis (emerald ash borer). It matches the Rfam family "tRNA". Rfam says of the family: Transfer RNA (tRNA) molecules are approximately 80 nucleotides in length. Their secondary structure includes four short double-helical elements and three loops (D, anti-codon, and T loops). The record is from Rfam by way of RNAcentral. Lineage: Eukaryota; Metazoa; Arthropoda; Insecta; Coleoptera; Buprestidae.
CCUUUAGUAGCUUAAUGGUUACAGCAUUGGUGCGUAAAGCGAAGUGUCCCGGGUUCGAUUCCCGGCGAGGGUG